RNAcentral lists this ribosomal RNA (564 nucleotides) under fungal sp. TZ-2013. Its description in RNAcentral is "eukaryotic LSU rRNA". The stretch from base 212 to 365 matches the Rfam family "5.8S ribosomal RNA". Lineage: Eukaryota; Fungi. The record is from RNAcentral.
UUCCGUAGGUGAACCUGCGGAGGGAUCAUUACAGAGUUAUCUAAACUCCCAAACCCAUGUGAACAUACCUCGCGUUGCCUCGGCAGGUGGCGUCCUACCCCGCGAGACCUACCCUGUAGGACCCGUACCCGGUAAGGCGACCCUGCCGACGGCCCCCGAAACUCUGUUUUUUAUAGCAUUGGACUUCUGAAACGAUAACUAAAUCAGUUAAAACUUUCAACAACGGAUCUCUUGGUUCUGGCAUCGAUGAAGAACGCAGCGAAAUGCGAUAAGUAAUGUGAAUUGCAGAAUUCAGUGAAUCAUCGAAUCUUUGAACGCACAUUGCGCCCACUAGUAUUCUGGUGGGCAUGCCUGUUCGAGCGUCAUUUCAACCCUUAAGCCCCUGUUGCUUAGCGUUGGGAGCCUACUGGAACCCUCCUGUAGCUCUCUAAAGUCAGUGGCGGAGCCGGUUCGCACUCCAGACGUAGUAGCUUUUACACAUCGCCUGUAGCUUGGACCCGGUCCCCUGCCGUAAAACACCCCCCAUCUUAUAGGUGACCUCGAUCAGGUAGAUGCCCGUUCUGC